AAUAUGGAUUUUUUUAAAUCCAUAUUUGAUUUUCUAUCAAAUGUAA
Molecule: non-coding RNA, 46 nt
Organism: Colius striatus (speckled mousebird)
Lineage: Eukaryota; Metazoa; Chordata; Aves; Coliiformes; Coliidae
Source: Rfam